GAUCUCCAAGAGACAAAGUAUCAAAAGAAAAGGAGAGAACUGUGGGGGAUACCUUUGGUUAAGAGAAGAGCAUUGAUCAUCAAAAAAAUAAGAAACAAAGAAGUAAUCAGUCAGGUGGAAGGACACCACAAUGUCAGAAAAAGCUGAAGGAGGAGAGAACUGUCUGGAAGAACACUGUGUUCCAGAACACUGGAAGAACUGUGUUUCAUAAGUAAACAAUGUCAAAAGCUGGAGAGAGAAACCAGAAGGAUGAGUGAGGACUGAGAAUAAAUUACUGUUUUAGCAAUUAACAUAUUCUUGAUAGUCUUGAAGAUGGGAGUUUCAGCCAAGUGAUAAGGCUUGGCACCUGAAAUCCAGAAUCAUGACAAGGAAUUAUUGAACUUAAAGUAGAGACUUGAAAGAUCCCUCUGGGGCAAGCACAGAAGACACUUUCAGUUGUGGGAAGGCCACUAUGUGGCACAAAUGUACACAGGCAUGUGGUGCUAAAGGAUAUUGAUGAAAUAAGUGCCUUUCCAAGAAUGACAGUCCUGGGGAAAAAAUGGAGAAAGCCUACAGAGAGCUCUCUGGAGAUGUCAACA
Molecule: long non-coding RNA, 578 nt
Filed under: Monodelphis domestica (gray short-tailed opossum)
Lineage: Eukaryota; Metazoa; Chordata; Mammalia; Didelphimorphia; Didelphidae
Description: lncRNA (ENSMODG00000048127.1)
Source: RNAcentral